RNAcentral lists this long non-coding RNA (394 nucleotides) under Lathyrus oleraceus (garden pea). Its description in RNAcentral is "Pisum sativum (pea) long non-coding RNA (PSAT_LNC001780)". The record is from RNAcentral. Lineage: Eukaryota; Viridiplantae; Streptophyta; Magnoliopsida; Fabales; Fabaceae.
CAAGUUAUACUUAUUUACAAAAUGAAGUCAAAGUUUGGAUUAAAGUUUAUUCGCAAUGAGUAUUUAUGAAAAUAGUUUUGAAAAAUCAAAGGCUUAAGGCCUAGGUUUCUAAUUUGAAACAAAGUCAAAGUUUUGAAAAUGAUUUUUGGCUUGGUUAGAGUGGGGAGAAGAAGAGAAGGGCUAGUCUUAAAGCAUACAAAGAUAAGAGGGGAAAGAUAAACCCUUGGAGUUCCUUUUUUUAAAUCCAUAGAGAUGACUCAAGAUGCUCUUUUCCUUUGGACUUAGCACACAAACAAGCAAUCAAACAAUUUGAAUUCAAGCUCCUAGGAUCUCCAUUUGGCUUGGCUCUUAACUUGGCUGCUCAUGACAAUGGUCCUCCUUUCACAAUUUUAAG